GCCGGGAUCGCCUAGCCAGGUAUGGCGUCGGAUUGCUAAUCCGAUGGGCCUUAGGCCCUCGUGGGUUCAAAUCCCACUCCCGGCGCCA
RNAcentral lists this transfer RNA (88 nucleotides) under archaeon 13_1_40CM_2_52_13. RNAcentral describes it as "tRNA-Ser". It matches the Rfam family "tRNA". From Rfam's summary of the family: Transfer RNA (tRNA) molecules are approximately 80 nucleotides in length. Their secondary structure includes four short double-helical elements and three loops (D, anti-codon, and T loops). RNAcentral also lists the same sequence under 7 other names. The record is from RNAcentral.